CUUGUCAUCUCGCACAUUGCUGCCCCUCAUAGAAAAUUGAAUGCCCGCGGGUUAGACUACUUCCCGCUUCACGUCCCCUCUCAGUGUUGUGUGAUGGCGAUGAGUUCACAGCACCGCCACCAUGGCAGCAGUGGCCUCUUCUUCAUCUCAUGGUUCAUGUCUUUGAAGCCUGUGAAACCGGGAGCAUAUUUGAGUGGCUUCUGCUGAAUGGCAUCGGCACCUAGAAAAAUAAAUGAAUAAAGGAAUGCAAGGACUAGCCCUUGGUAGCUUUGUUUUAUAGAAGAAGCACCUGGCGAGUCCAGGACUCGAACCAGGGCGGUUGCGUGAGCACCUGCAGUUAUAGCCACCAGAAUGACGCUCUGUUCUUGACAUUGGCAUCUACACGCGCACCGCUACAAACGCAAAGGAGAGCAGUUGGGUGAUGUACUACCCGGCGAGUAACCAGACCCUCCUUCAGAAUACGUCACAUGCUUGGAAGUAAGAGCGAGGGGUUGCUAUUCAUCUUAUCGUUGAAUGGGGAGGUCCAGGUAGGUGUAGCAGUUGCUCUCAAAUCUGCUAAAGUGGCCAAUAAAUUACACAAAGAAAUCAUUCAAGGAGAGCAGAGGAAUGAGCCCGAGUUACUGGCGCGUGGCAUAAGCAUGAUGAGCUGGCAAGCGGAUGUCAAUAGAUGCAAAGAGUGGAAGCCCACAACCUGGAUACUGAACAAUAGUUUAUCACUUCCAUGUUUCGUCUGAUUAUCGAGAAGGCACUACAUGGAUCUUAAAGUUGUGUUGAGAUACCUGAUACUGUUUGUACUAGUUAAAUGUGUUUAUAUCUUUGUUGGGCGUUCCGUAGCUCUAAUUAGUAGUUUCCAAUCUAGUGAGUUUUCCCUUCGAGUGGUUUUCUCUGUAAUAGUAGAAACCUGGAGCGAUAUCACUCACUAGUAGAAAAGUGAGUUCACAGAAGUGUCACUCAUUGGAAUCCUGUGUGUGCAAGGAACCUGGGCAUGUAUGCCACAAUUUGAGGAAUGAAAAUUAACUACCUUUAAAUUUAAAGAAAA
Lolium rigidum is the source of this 1039-nucleotide long non-coding RNA. RefSeq lists it as uncharacterized. NCBI's taxonomy places the organism in Eukaryota, Viridiplantae, Streptophyta, Magnoliopsida, Poales, Poaceae. The record is from RefSeq and is a predicted model, not a curated record. The transcript is spliced from 4 exons.